AGAUAUAACCCUCAGUUAAGAACCAUGGAGAAGAGGCAUUUUCUACAGAAGACUUGAUUUGCAAUGCAUAUGCUACUCUAAGAGAGGGAAAAUUCAUCCCCCACCCUGCAGAGUUUGUGUAGUUUAACUUCUGCUCCACUACUCUGGCUUGGAAAUGUAUUCUCCUCUUAAUUUGUGAAUGAAAUGAAAGGACACAUUAUAUCUCAGUAAUGCCAUGAAUCAAUGUCUGGCAAAGCACUGGAAGUGAUCUCUGGUGAAUAUCACAGUGGUGGAAAGCAUGCAGUCUAGGCUGCCUGGAUUGAAUGUCAGCUUCAUCACCCACUCUUCAAUGACCUUGGGCAAGUUACCAACUCUCUCUGUGCCUCAGUUUCUUCCUCUCACGUGGGGAAGGACUUAUUUCGUUAGGUUGCUAUGGGGAUUAAAUUACUUAUAUAUUUGAAAUGCUCACAAGAGUACCUAGUAUUUUAAAAUGUGUUUUGUCAAAUUUAAAAAUACAGUAACUAGAAUAUCAAUACGCUCCUCAUAGGGGUAUCCAGUCUGUGGUCUGUGGGCAACAUGCAUCUUAUUUGAGGACUGUUUUGCUUAUCUGUAUUGCCAGAUAUCACAAAAUUUAAGUGUGGAUUUUUUUUUUUUUUUGGCUCAUCAGCUUGUUAGUAUUUGCAUAUUUAAUGUGCC
Long non-coding RNA from Nycticebus coucang (slow loris), 675 nucleotides. RefSeq lists it as uncharacterized. The transcript is spliced from 3 exons. Lineage: Eukaryota; Metazoa; Chordata; Mammalia; Primates; Lorisidae. The record is from RefSeq and is a predicted model, not a curated record.